CCCAAACAGUGAUGUUAGCUGCUCGUGCUAGUUGCUGCAUCUACGGAAAAACGAUCAAAGCCAUGCAAGUGUUCAGCAUUUUCUCAUCCACCGCUGGAGCUAACAAUAACAUCCACCUCGACCCCCAACUGAACUACAACCCAGGAUGCGUUCAAGAACAUCGCUAUGCAGGAAAACCGGACACUGCCCAAAAGGCUUGGCUGAAAGGUGAGGUCUAACUGUACAGUUUUGUAAUUGUUAAGUGUUGAGAACAAAUUCUGACCAUUUACUUAAGUACUAAAACGUACGGUAAAAACACUUUAUUACAAAUAAAAGUACCGCACUGAAAAUGUUACUUAAGUAAAAGUAGGAAAAUGUACUGAAAUUGCUCAACACAGUACAAUGUCCGCUGUGACUGUUGUAUUAUUAUACCAUUAGAUUGUUAUUACUCAUGCAUUAAUGUUUCAGAAGCAUUUUAUUUUUGUAGUUUUUUUCUGGUAUUUUUAUAAGAAAAAAUGAUUGCUUAUUGCUUCCUCUACUUGUAUAUCUUUUGGACACUAUAACAAGACAUCACAUUUCAUAAUGACUUCUUAUGUUUUAUAUACAAAAAUCUGAAUCUGUAAAGUAACCAUUAGUUAUCAGAUAAAUGCAGUGGAGUAAAAAUAACAAUUCCCUCUGAAAUGUAGUAGAGUACAGGUAUAGAGCAGCAUAAAAUGGAAAUGCUCAAGUUAAGAAACAAAACCAACCACCAAAAAACAUUAGAACUGUUUUACGGCAGUGGAGGAUUUACGGCACCCGGAAUAUGGCUGACGUUCCGAGUUUCGACCUGUAUGGAAGCCUAUAGGGGACUGUAUUCAAAUGAUAAUGUAAUUCCGUAAUAGUAAUUCCACAUAUAUUCCUCCUGUAUACUUAAUAAAAACUAAAUAAUAAUAAAAAAUUCACCAUAUUUAAGUGUUAUUUGGCCUUUUGCGUCUUUUAAAAGUAAUCUGUAUCUGUAACUCUAUAGUAGGAUACAGUCAUUGAUUUAGUGUAAAGUGGCAAUGGGGCUGAGGAUGGACAGGUAAGAAGAGGCUGUGAGGAUGUGAGUAAAUCACAUAUUCAGAUCUGGGGUUGUUCUUCACCACAAAUUGUAAAAUUCAAGCAAGAAAAAUAUAUUUUUUAUUUUCCAAAAUGUUUAAAAACAGUGUUUGAGAUACAAUAGUGAACAACAUCACAAUUCAGACAACAAUCCAAGUAAAUGAACACACUGAUACAUUUUUUUUUUUUUUUU
Molecule: long non-coding RNA, 1249 nt
Organism: Seriola aureovittata
Lineage: Eukaryota; Metazoa; Chordata; Actinopteri; Carangiformes; Carangidae
Exons: 2
Source: RefSeq, a predicted model, not a curated record